Non-coding RNA from Physcomitrium patens, 2921 nucleotides. Lineage: Eukaryota; Viridiplantae; Streptophyta; Bryopsida; Funariales; Funariaceae. The record is from RefSeq and is a predicted model, not a curated record.
GCUGUGGCAGCGGCUCCGGACACAGGCGCAAAGCGGUGGAUCUUGUGAUCAGGUCGAAUUGCAUCUGGCUCCGUGACGAGACGAGUGUUGGUCUUAUUUCGGGAGGCUGGUUUUAGGAGAGAGAUCUUACUGCUGCCGAAGCAGCAAGAAAUCGCCGUCUCUUUCUUUAGAAAUGCCUCAGUAGCGGCUAUGGCGGAUUCUCCCUGCAUUUCCCCUGUCGUCACGCCUCCUCCAUGAUGAGGAUGAUGUGCGUGGAGUGCGAGAGCGACGUUGCGAUUCUUCCUUUCAUCCAUCCAGAGUGGGCCUUCUCAUAAUCCCUGUCACUUGUGCCGUCCCACUAGUGGAAAAUGGCCUGUCGGCUUGCUCGAGAUCGGAGAUGCGCCCGCCGUGCCAUUCUCUUCGGGAGGUUGUAGUUUAUGGGUCCGUGUCUAGGAUCAGUGUGUGGAAGCCGAUUCAGUUGGGUUACGGGCUUUGAGAUCAACGAGAUAGUGGUUUUCUUUUUUUUCUGAAACGGGAGUGUUGGUGAAGCUGCUCGGUUGUUUGGUGAUGGUGGGGUAGAUGUGGAUGGAGUUGCGCGUUUCGACGUUGAUAAAUGUCCUGAGGAGCAAGCAAUGAAUAGACGGUUAAUCUUGGUUGAAUAGCGUUAAGUUUUGUAUUGAGACAUUUGAGAACAGUUGAAGGGACCAUGCUUUAAUCACUCGGGCAAGAUUGAGUUUCGGAUUACAUGUUCACACAGAGCUGCAUUUAUGAAGCAAUUAUUUGGUUCAGAGACUCUCAGCACGAUGGCGAUGACCGACAUUCUGGUAGAAAAUAGUGCACAUUCUGGGAUGUGCAGGUCCGAAGAUGUGCCAAAGAAUGAUACUACACUUCUGACACUAUAGCGUUUAGCGGGACGGCUUUGGACAAGCACUUUGUUUUCGCAGUAUCUAGGGUGUGCAGAAUGUCCUCGUGGGAUGCGCAUAUGCUUAUUCAGUAAAUUUAAAGCUUCCAUUGAAACUUCUACUCUCCUGCCUACCUGUUACCGUCAAGGGAUUCAUAACCUACAUUCGCUGAAGAAUUUGUGCAAGUAGCGAGGGAUCUCAUCCUACCUGUGGUUCGUUGUUAGACUUUUAUCAAAGUUUCAAGGCUAGUUUGCGAUGGUAUAAGAGUGAAGUUGCGAAGUUUCUUUCAAUGAAGAAGACCUUUACGAUCAGCAGGGUUAUCACCAAGAUAGAGCCUUCAGAAAACCAUUCUAAGAUCCGUCUCAAAACAACGAAUUAAGUUGCUCAGCGAGUUAGCCGCUAUGUAUUCUGCUCUGAACACAGAGCCGCCUGUCGAACCUCCGCCUACUACAGCAUGGGGCGUAGAAAGAGGAGAAAUGCAAGAUAGAAUUGACACUAAGCGAAAUGUAAGGUCAUCUCGUCCGAGAAAACCAACAAAGGUGAAGAUGCAAGAUGUCUACUCGUUCAACCUUGAAGUUUCCCGAGAAGAGGCAUCCAUUAUACAUCAGGUGAAAGAGAGGGUAAAGGAGCAGGGUCGGGUAUGGUGGGCCAUGGAAGCCAAGAAUGGUGCGGGCUGGUACUUGCAGCCAGAGAUAUUUGCUCAAGCUGAAGGAUAUUUCGUUUCGUCUCUGUCGUUAGUAACUAUGACAAGCACAUUGCAGCUGAAGAAGUUGAUAAGGAGUGGAAUUCCUCCGCUACUCAGACCACGAGUGUGGAGUGCAGUCUCAGGAGCAAAUAAAAGGAGGUCAUCUGCACCAGAGAGUUAUUACAGUGAUUUGUUGGCAGCAGUAGAAGGGCGAGAAACUCCUGCCACGAGGCAAAUCGACCAUGAUUUGGGACGCACUUUCCCGACUCACCCUUGGAUCGACUCUGCUGAUGGACGAGCUGCUCUGAGGCGAAUACUUGUGGCGUAUUCUUUCCGUGAUUCCCGUGUUGGAUAUUGUCAAGGCAUGAAUUUCGUGGCAGCAAUGUUACUGCUAGUAAUGAAAAAAGAAGAAGAUGCCUUUUGGAUGUUGGCAGUACUGGUGGAGAAUGUGUUGUUUGAUGACUGCUAUUCAGAGAACCUGUAUGGAUGCCAUGUCGAACAAAGGGUCUUUAAAGAUCUACUGAGGAAGAAGCUCCCAAGGUUGGCUGUGCGACUAGAGGAGAUUGAGUUCGAUGUUUCUUUGGUCACGACUGAAUGGUUCCUCUGUCUCUUUGCUAAGAGCCUCCCAUCAGAGACUACAAUGCGCGUUUGGGACGUCCUAUUCAACGAAGGCGCAAGCAUUUUAUUUAUAGUGGCAUUGGCCAUUUUCAAGUAUGCAGAUGAGAGAGGAAGAAUUAUUUGCGGCAAAGCAUGUGGGUGAGGUGAUGAAGAUUCUGCACGAUGCUACUCACGGUGCUUACGACCCAGAUGAAUUGCUCAAGGUUGCUUUUGAAAAAGUUGGAGUAAUGUCACUACAAUCAAUAGUUAAACAGCGCAAGAAGGAACAACCCGCAGUGAUUGCUGAGCUGGAGCGGCGAGGGCAACUAAAUCCUUCCGACUCUGUUCAAAGCUCUUCUCGGUAAUGGAGUGCAGUCUAGUAAUGCUAUGGCUGCACUAUGUUUCUUGUAGCUGUUAUUAUAACCACCUAAGAUGUCCGCUGGCAAAGUUGAGAGUACUAAGGUGAUUUAGGUUACAUUACUGAAGAUCGAAAACUGAAAAGUUUGUGAUGAGGUAGCACCCAGUGUUCUGGAGGAUGUUGGUGCUUGUGAGUGCCAUGUUCACUGAGAUUUCAUAAUCACCAAAAGUGGUGAACAUUUUGGAGUGUCAGGAUGUCUAGCUGGGCUUAUGGUUUGGUAUUAGUUCAUUUAUCUGCAGUUGUGCUCAGUAAAGGACUCAACGACUGCCUCAAAGAGGCCUGUAAUUUAUGAGUUAGACUCUUGAAAUGGAAAGCUUUUCUUGCAGAGGCGAUUAUCACA